CCGUGCUAGGUGGGGAGCUAGGGGUUCCCUGUCACCUGCAACCCCCUCCAGCAGGACUGAAUUCCUCUCCGCGGGACGCGGGGGCGGGUGUGGAAGAAAGCAAGGAGCGUUGAUGGAGGGGACCCAAGCAAUGGGGACCUGUGAACCUGGUCAGAGGGGGAACCCGGCAGCCAUAAGCAGUGCUCUUCAUGUGCUCUGGGGCCACCUCUCCGGAGCCACCUGCUUUUGGAAGCUUCGUCUUCUGCGUUUCAGAGAGAGGUGCACGG
Molecule: signal recognition particle RNA, 266 nt
Filed under: Planctomycetota bacterium
Lineage: Bacteria; Pseudomonadati; Planctomycetota
Description: Planctomycetes bacterium (groundwater metagenome) signal recognition particle sRNA large type
Rfam family: Bacterial large signal recognition particle RNA
About the family: The signal recognition particle (SRP) is a universally conserved ribonucleoprotein involved in the co-translational targeting of proteins to membranes. Archaeal SRP consists of a 7S RNA and homologues of the eukaryotic SRP19 and SRP54 proteins. In most bacteria, the SRP consists of a 4.5S RNA and the Ffh protein (a homologue of the eukaryotic SRP54 protein).
Source: RNAcentral